UUCACGGUUAAGAUUGAUACUUCAUCUUUUUUUUUGAAUGAAUGUAAAUACUAUUCAAACAAAAAAGUUUAUCUUUUUCAAACAUCAUUCAGGCUAAUCUCAACCGUGAUCCGCAAAACCCUAUUACGGCGGUCAAAAUGGUGAAUAUCACCAAAUUCUCAUCAACAAACUAUCUGACUUGGAGUGUGCAAAUCACAUCUCUUCUCAGAGGUUAUGAUUUCGUCAAGUUCAUGGACAAAACUAUCAUUCCUCCUCCUGGGACAAUCAAUGUCAACGAUGUUCUCACUCCAAACCCUGCUCUCAUGGCCUGAUAGCGACAGAACAAUCUUCUAUUCAACGGUCUCAUGGGUGCUAUUGAGACUCCGAUUCAAACACUUAUCGCUACAUCCAGGUCAACUCUUGAGGCUUAGAACACUCUAUCUGCUACAUAUGGCAAACCAACACGGGGGCGAAGAAGUAUGGAGGUUUUUGCGAGGAGAGACUGUUUCAUGAAACUGAACAUGGAGAGAGAUGAAGAUUUUGGUGGAGGAAGGAUCAAGACAGAGGUAGGCACUCUGAGUUUGGGAGUAACCUAAGAAGAUGCAGGGAGUGGAGCGAGGUUUAAGUUUUUGUUGAUGUCAUUGUCGUCACAGGAAACAACUCUGCAGCGGUCGAGAAAUUCACACAACGCCUAAGCAUCCGAUUCUCUCUUAAGGACUUAGGCUCUCUCAGUUAUUUUCUGAGAAUUGAAGCACAUCGCACUGCUGAGGGAUCCUUCUCACGCAACAAAAAAAUACAUCACAGACUUGUUAACUCAUACUAAAAUUCUUGACGCUAAUCCAGUCUUAACUCCGAUGGCCUCCAAUUGUCACUUGCAACUUACUUCUGGUACACCUCUCACUGAUGGUCGUGAGUAUUGUACACUUGUUGAAGCUUGCAUUAUCUUCAUUUUACAAGAUCAUAUGUGGCUUUUUCUGUAAACAAGUUGUCACAAUUUAUGCAUCGUCUGUCGGAUGAACAGUGGCAGGCAGCAAAACGUGUUCUCCGCUAUCUCUCUGAAACUCGCGAUCAAGGCAUCUUUCUUCACAGCAACAACACUCUCAACCUUCAUGCCUUCUCAGACUCCGACUGGUCUGGAAAUCGGGAUGAUUAUACUUCAACAAGAGCGUACAUUGUUUAUCUUGGCUCUCAUCAUGUGGUCUGGUCCUCAAAGUAACAAAAGACUGUUGCUCGUUCUUCAACUGAAGCUGAGUACAGGUCUACAGCUGACACUGCGCUGAAGUGUUCUGGAUGUCGUAUCUUAUGUCUGAAUUGGGAGUCUCUACUGCAUCUCAACCUGUCAAUUUUUUUUGACAAUGUGGGUGCUAUAUAUCUUGCCGCAGACCAUGUUUUUCACUCUCGCAUGAAGCACGUGGCGCUUGACUAUCAUUUUGUUCGUCAAAUGGUUCAGUCACAGUUUCUCAGAGUCAUUAAUAUAUCUUCUAAAGAUCAGCUAGCUGAUGCACUUACUAAACCGCUACCUCGUCUGCGUUUACGACAACUCAAUUCCAAGAUUGGACUCUCAUCCGGUCGCUCAUCUUGCAGAGGCGUAUAGGAGAUAAAUACAGGAGUAUUCUAGUUCCUUUUAUAUAGAAGUAUCUUGUAUAUUGUUAGAGUAGAUGCUCUGUAGAUAAGCUCUAGAGAUCCUACGUGAGCUCUCUUGUAUAUAUAUAUUGUAUUCCUCUCUAUUAUCAAUACAACACAUUACCCAUAUCUCUCUACGUCUUUUUGAGAACAGAUCAGUAACACCUGCGCCGGAAAGAGUCCUUAAGGCAGUUCUUGGAGCCCUCGUAUGGCAGUCUCCUCAAGCUGAGGUACGACAGAACAGGCCUCCUCUUCACAUCUCAGCUCCACUUCUCCUUGCAAUACCACCCGAAACAAAUUACGCAGAGUACACGAGAAGCAACGACAGCGUGUGUGACAGCCAUGGAGGAUGAGCUUAACCAGAUCGGAAGGGCAAAGAGAAAAAGGAGUGUAAUCCAUGUACUUGUAGAGGUCAGGGUAGUUAUGUCAAGCAUAAGCUAUGAGGAUAACUUAGAGUAGAUGAGGAGAUCUUACGACGCGGAGGAGGAGACGAUGGAAGGCUGGAAGCAGUUGAAGUGGAUUUUUUUUUGCUGGUGUUUUGUGAGGUGGCUGAUGGCUGUGUGGAUUGUGUGGAGCUGACAGAGGAGGUGGUCAUGGACAGAAGGGACAAAGGUCGGUGAGGAUUUAGAAUGGAAGAAAUUGGUGGCGGAAGAGAUGAUGUUUGUAGCUACCAUGACUAUUACUAGAAGCAGAUUCAAGCUUUAUGGGCUUGAGCGGAGGAGAUUUGGAGAGUUUAGUGAAGUCACAGAGGAGAGCGAAUUCCAAAAUCCAGCUCCGGUGACCAAGGCAAUUAAUCCAUCAAGAAGGUUCGAAUUGAGACUGAAGUUGAGAGCAGUGAGAUUUUGAAGCUUGAGCGGAGAUAUGGGAUUGUAGUGGAGUCGCUGAGGAGAUCUGAGUUCCGACGAGACUAAUUAUGGCGACUUAGGAAGGUGGUUAUAGAUAUGAAGAUGGUGGAUACUAAGGUGGUUGCUCGAGACGAGGAGUUGGUGGUGGAUACGGUGGAGGCGGAAGACAGUAGAGUGGAGAUGGUGGUUGAUACCGGAGUGGAAGUUAUGAUGGUUAUGGAUACAAAGGCUGUGGAUACGAAAGUGGAGACAGAGGUGGAGACUAUGGUGACGAUAUAUACCGUAAAUGAGGUUGUAUGGUUAUGGAUAUGAAGUUCAUGGUUACGGACUUGGAAACAUCACACCUGUCCAUACAUCCUCUUCCCAAACAUUAGUAUUAGCUAUUCAUGUAGACAUCCAAGACCUUGUCCACAAAAACAUUUUCACAAACAAUCACAGUUACACAACCAUAACCACAUGAACUUGUCCAUAAGAAGACAUCCACCACAAAUUUGUAUAUGAGAGCAUAUUCACGAGUCUUGUCCAUUAACUAUAUAACCAUGAGAAAAUUUGUCCAGAGCGUAGUUAAUUUUUU
Brassica napus (rape) is the source of this 3021-nucleotide long non-coding RNA. RefSeq lists it as uncharacterized. Lineage: Eukaryota; Viridiplantae; Streptophyta; Magnoliopsida; Brassicales; Brassicaceae. The transcript is spliced from 2 exons. The record is from RefSeq and is a predicted model, not a curated record.